This 520-nucleotide ribosomal RNA is filed under the name uncultured Glomus. RNAcentral describes it as "SSU rRNA". It matches the Rfam family "Eukaryotic small subunit ribosomal RNA", at positions 569 to 1085 of the family's 1831-position model. Lineage: Eukaryota; Fungi; Glomeromycota; Glomeromycetes; Glomerales; Glomeraceae. The record is from RNAcentral.
AGCAGCCGCGGUAAUUCCAGCUCCAAUAGCGUAUAUUAAAGUUGCUGCAGUUAAAAAGCUCGUAGUUGAAUUUCGGGACCAUCAUGUCGGUCGUGCCUCGGUACGUACUGGCAUUGUUGGUUUCUCCCUUCUGACGAACCAUGAUGUCAUUUAUUUGGUGUUGUGGGGAAUCAGGACUGUUACUUUGAAAAAAUUAGAGUGUUUAAAGCAGGCUCACGCUUGAGUACAUUAGCAUGGAAUAAUGAAAUAGGACGUUUGAUUCUAUUUUGUUGGUUUCUAGGAUCGACGUAAUGAUUAAUAGGGAUAGUUGGGGGCAUUAGUAUUCAAUUGUCAGAGGUGAAAUUCUUGGAUUUAUUGAAGACUAACUACUGCGAAAGCAUUUGCCAAGGAUGUUUUCAUUAAUCAAGAACGAAAGUUAGGGGAUCGAAGACGAUCGAGAUACCGUCGUAGUCUUAACCAUAAACUAUGCCGACGUAGGGAUCGGAUGAUAGUUUUAAUUUUUAAUGACUCUAGUUCGGCC